AGGACAAACGCUGGCGGGGUGCAUGAGACAUGCAAGUCGAACGAGGUGCCAUCGGGCUUGCUCGAUGGUUACCGAGUGGCGGACGGCUGAGUAACGCGUAGGUGACCUACCCGGAAGUGGGGAAUAACUGCCCGAAAGGGUGGCUAAUACCGCAUGUGGUCGGCGAUUCGAUUCGCCGUCUAAAGGAGCAAUUCGCUUCCGGAGGGGCCUGCGUCCGAUUAGCUAGUUGGUGGGGUAACGGCUCACCAAGGCGACGAUCGGUAGCUGGUCUGAGAGGAUGAUCAGCCAGACUGGGACUGAGAACGGCCCAGACUCCUACGGGAGGCAGCAGUCGGGAAUUUUGCCCAAUGGACGAAAGUCUGAGGCAGCAACUCCGCGUGAGGGAUGAAGGCUCUCGGGUCGUAAACCUCUUUUCUCAGGGAAGAUCCAAGACGGUACCUGAGGAAUAAGCGACGGCUAACUACGUGUCAGCAGCCGC
This 478-nucleotide ribosomal RNA is filed under the name uncultured soil bacterium. RNAcentral's name for it is "bacterial SSU rRNA". It matches the Rfam family "Bacterial small subunit ribosomal RNA", at positions 26 to 518 of the family's 1533-position model. The record is from RNAcentral.